AGUGAACGCUGGCGGUAGGCCUAACACAUGCAAGUCGAACGGCAGCACAGUAAGAGCUUGCUCUUACGGGUGGCGAGUGGCGGACGGGUGAGGAAUACAUCGGAAUCUACUUUUUCGUGGGGGAUAACGUAGGGAAACUUACGCUAAUACCGCAUACGACCUACGGGUGAAAGCAGGGGAUCUUCGGACCUUGCGCGAUUGAAUGAGCCGAUGUCGGAUUAGCUAGUUGGCGGGGUAAAGGCCCACCAAGGCGACGAUCCGUAGCUGGCCUGAGAGGAUGAUCAGCCACAUUGGAGAGGAUACACGGCCAAACUUCCACCGGGAGGCAGCAGUGGGGAAUAUGGGACAAAGGGGGCAGGCAUAUUCCGCCCUAGCCGCGUGGGUGAAGAAGCCCUUCGGUUUGUAAGGCCCUUUGUUUGGGAAAGAAAACCACCAGUUUAGUACCCGGCUGUUUGACGGUAACCCAAGAAUAAGCCACGGCUAACUUUGUG
Molecule: ribosomal RNA, 491 nt
Filed under: uncultured bacterium
Lineage: Bacteria
Description: partial 16S ribosomal RNA
Rfam family: Bacterial small subunit ribosomal RNA
Source: RNAcentral